AAACAUGUCUUUUUGAAUUAAAUUUAAAGUCUAGCCUGCCCACUGAUAUAUUAAAUGGCCGCAGUAUCCUAACUGUGCAAAGGUAGCAUAAUCAUUAGUCUUUUAAUUGAAGGCUGGUAUGAAUGGUUGGACGAGAUACUAACUGUUUCAAUUGAAUUUAUAAUAGAAUUUUAUUUUUUAGUCAAAAAGCUAAAAUAUAUUUAAAAGACGAGAAGACCCUAUAAAUCUUGAUAUUUUUAAUAAUUUUAAUUAUAAAGAUUUAUUUGAUUAUCAUUAUUAAAAAUAUUUUAUUGGGGUGAUAUUAAAAUUUAAUAAACUUUUAAUUUUUGGGCUCAUUAAUUUAUGAAUAAUUGAUCCGUUUUUAGCGAUUAGAAAAUUAAGUUACUUUAGGGAUAACAGCGUAAUUUUUUUGGAGAGUUCAUAUCGAUAAAAAAGAUUGCGACCUCGAUGUUGGAUUAAGAUAUAGGUUUGGGCGCAGCCGCUCAAAUAUUUAGUCUGUUCGACUAUUUAAUUCUUACAUGAUCU
Molecule: ribosomal RNA, 525 nt
Filed under: Coelopa ursina
Lineage: Eukaryota; Metazoa; Arthropoda; Insecta; Diptera; Coelopidae
Description: partial 16S ribosomal RNA
Rfam family: Bacterial large subunit ribosomal RNA
Source: RNAcentral